Molecule: ribosomal RNA, 431 nt
Filed under: Massilia sp. R-41596
Lineage: Bacteria; Pseudomonadati; Pseudomonadota; Betaproteobacteria; Burkholderiales; Oxalobacteraceae
Description: bacterial SSU rRNA
Rfam family: Bacterial small subunit ribosomal RNA
Source: RNAcentral
GCUCAGAUUGAACGCUGGCGGCAUGCUUUACACAUGCAAGUCGAACGGCAGCGCGGGGCAACCUGGCGGCGAGUGGCGAACGGGUGAGUAAUAUAUCGGAACGUACCCAAGAGUGGGGGAUAACGUAGCGAAAGUUACGCUAAUACCGCAUACGAUCUAAGGAUGAAAGUGGGGGAUCGCAAGACCUCAUGCUCCUGGAGCGGCCGAUAUCUGAUUAGCUAGUUGGUGAGGUAAAGGCUCACCAAGGCGACGAUCAGUAGCUGGUCUGAGAGGACGACCAGCCACACUGGGACUGAGACACGGCCCAGACUCCUACGGGAGGCAGCAGUGGGGAAUUUUGGACAAUGGGCGCAAGCCUGAUCCAGCAAUGCCGCGUGAGUGAAGAAGGCCUUCGGGUUGUAAAGCUCUUUUGUCAGGGAAGAAACGGCUGA